AUGAAGGUACCAAGGUUUUUUAACUUCUUUAGGCAAUUCAAUUCCUUCAUCAAAUAGUUUGUCUAUGGCAGUGAAGUAUGGGAAUCCAAGCUUGUCAUCAACAAUUGCAGUCUCUAUGGUAGGCACCAAUGCAUGUAACAAAGAUUUUACUGUAUUUAUACCAAAUGAUGCUUGUUUCAACUCUGCAAAUGCCUCAUCUCUUGGUACAUAAAAAUCGCUGCUUCUUGAUUCUGUCAAUGGGUCCUUUUCGGUUCUAGGACGUCCAGUUCUACAACGCCUAGGGUAAGGAUGCUCUUUGCCACCAAGAACAGGUCUUGCAAGGUCUUCGCUGGAAUCCGGAUCUCCAAGGUCAUUGUAUACAUCAUAGUCAUAGAUCCUCUCAAAAGACUUUCUCUCUCCUUGUCCAUUUCCUCUUAGAUUUUCCAAUUCCUCCUCUCUUAGCCUCUUCAAUCCGUCUGGUGUUUCAGCAGGUAAGUAUGACUUAUUGGUGAAGAAAAUUCUCUUCUUGGGGUUAUCGUGUUUAGAAUGAGCCCAAGAAUUGCACGAAACAGUGACAGGACCAUUGAGAAAGCCUUCAAGAACAAUGCUUUCAAUGAAGAUUUCCUUGUUAUGUUCGUUCUCUAUCAGGACGGCUCCAACCUCACCAAAUCCAUCUGGAACCUUGAAGUUUGCCUCUAACUUCACCUCACCAGGCUCAUGAAUCCCUAGAAGAAUACGAGCAUAAGACUUCACCGUGUCCUUCUCCAGCCCAGUUUUAGGAUCAAGCUCUGCACUAACAAGCUCCAAAAGGAGACUUUUCCCAAUAAUAUCAGUAAGCACUUCAAGAGGCUGUGUAAUUCCUAUACUAGAGAUAAGACCACCAACUGUAACUUUAACUGUAACAGUUGCCUUCACUGAAAUAGAUUCAGUGUGAUCUUUUAUUGCUGAUAUAGCCUUACCAAUGAGACUAGCUCGCACAAUAAGGCUUGGGUUUUUCUUAGGGAAUAAACGUUUC
RNAcentral lists this unclassified non-coding RNA (994 nucleotides) under Hevea brasiliensis (rubber tree). Lineage: Eukaryota; Viridiplantae; Streptophyta; Magnoliopsida; Malpighiales; Euphorbiaceae. The record is from RNAcentral.